RNAcentral lists this non-coding RNA (22 nucleotides) under Rattus norvegicus (Norway rat). The record is from RNAcentral. Lineage: Eukaryota; Metazoa; Chordata; Mammalia; Rodentia; Muridae.
GAGUAGCAAACUAGGAGCAGGA